This 373-nucleotide ribosomal RNA is filed under the name uncultured organism. RNAcentral describes it as "partial 16S ribosomal RNA". It matches the Rfam family "Bacterial small subunit ribosomal RNA", at positions 527 to 896 of the family's 1533-position model. The record is from RNAcentral.
GUAGGUGGCAAGCGUUGUCCGGAAUUAUUGGGCGUAAAGCGCGCGCAGGUGGUUCUUUAAGUCUGAUGUGAAAGCCCCCGGGCUCAACCGGGGAGGGUCAUUGGAAACUGGGGAACUUGAGUGCAGGAGAGGAAAGUGGAAUUCCACGUGUAGCGGUGAAAUGCGUAGAUAUGUGGAGGAACACCAGUGGCGAAGGCGACUUUCUGGCCUGUAACUGACACUGAGGCGCGAAAGCGUGGGGAGCAAACAGGAUUAGAUACCCUGGUAGUCCACGCCGUAAACGAUGAGUGCUAAGUGUUGGGGGGUUUCCGCCCCUCAGUGCUGCAGCUAACGCAUUACGCACUCCGCCUGGGGAGUACGGUCGCAAAGACUG